GACGAACGCUGGCGGCGUGCUUAACACAUGCAAGUCGAACGGAAGGGCCCUGCUUUUGUGGGGUGCUCGAGUGGCGAACGGGUGAGUAACACGUGAGUAACCUGCCCUUGACUUUGGGAUAACUUCAGGAAACUGGGGCUAAUACCGGAUAGGAGCUCCUGCUGCAUGGUGGGGGUUGGAAAGUUUCGGCGGUUGGGGAUGGACUCGCGGCUUAUCAGCUUGUUGGUGGGGUAGUGGCUUACCAAGGCUUUGACGGGUAGCCGGCCUGAGAGGGUGACCGGCCACAUUGGGACUGAGAUACGGCCCAGACUCCUACGGGAGGCAGCAGUGGGGAAUAUUGCACAAUGGGCGGAAGCCUGAUGCAGCAACGCCGCGUGCGGGAUUACGGCCUUCGGGUUGUAAACCGCUUUCGCCUGUGACGAAGCGUGAGUGACGGUAAUGGGUAAAGAAGCACCGGCUAACUACGUG
RNAcentral lists this ribosomal RNA (468 nucleotides) under uncultured bacterium. RNAcentral describes it as "partial 16S ribosomal RNA". It matches the Rfam family "Bacterial small subunit ribosomal RNA", at positions 28 to 507 of the family's 1533-position model. The record is from RNAcentral.